Molecule: ribosomal RNA, 253 nt
Filed under: uncultured bacterium
Lineage: Bacteria
Description: partial 16S ribosomal RNA
Rfam family: Bacterial small subunit ribosomal RNA
Source: RNAcentral
UACGUAGGGGCAAGCGUUGUCCGGAUUCAUUGGGCGUAAGAGCGUGUAGGCGGCCAGGUAGGUCGGUUGUGAAAACUGGAGGCUCAACCUUCAGAGGUCGACCGAAACCAUCUGGCUAGAGUCCGGGAGAGGAGAGUGGAAUUCCUGGUGUGAGCGGGUGGAAUGCGCAGAUAUCAGGAGGAACACCAAUUGCGAAGGCAGCUCGCUGGGACGUUACUGACACUGAGGCGCGAAAGCGUGGGGAGCGAACAGG